GACGAACGCUGGCGGCGCGCCUAACACAUGCAAGUCGAACGGAGUUGUGUUGAAAGCUUGCUGGAUAUACAACUUAGUGGCGGACGGGUGAGUAACACGUGAGUAACCUGCCUCUCAGAGUGGAAUAACGUUUGGAAACGAACGCUAAUACCGCAUAACGUGAGAAGAGGGCAUCCUCUUUUUACCAAAGAUUUAUCGCUGAGAGAUGGACCCGCGUCUGAUUAGGUAGUUGGUGGGGUAACGGCCCACCAAGCCGACGAUCAGUAGCCGACCUGAGAGGGUGACCGGCCACAUUGGGACUGAGACACGGCCCAA
RNAcentral lists this ribosomal RNA (315 nucleotides) under uncultured bacterium. Its description in RNAcentral is "bacterial SSU rRNA". It matches the Rfam family "Bacterial small subunit ribosomal RNA", at positions 28 to 334 of the family's 1533-position model. The record is from RNAcentral.